This 515-nucleotide ribosomal RNA is filed under the name Staphylococcus aureus. Its description in RNAcentral is "bacterial SSU rRNA". It matches the Rfam family "Bacterial small subunit ribosomal RNA", at positions 1 to 341 of the family's 1533-position model. The record is from RNAcentral. Lineage: Bacteria; Bacillati; Bacillota; Bacilli; Caryophanales; Staphylococcaceae.
UUUUAUGGAGAGUUUGAUCCUGGCUCAGGAUGAACGCUGGCGGCGUGCCUAAUACAUGCAAGUCGAGCGAACGGACGAGAAGCUUGCUUCUCUGAUGUUAGCGGCGGACGGGUGAGUAACACGUGGAUAACCUACCUAUAAGACUGGGAUAACUUCGGGAAACCGGAGCUAAUACCGGAUAAUAUUUUGAACCGCAUGGUUCAAAAGUGAAAGACGGUCUUGCUGUCACUUAUAGAUGGAUCCGCGCUGCAUUAGCUAGUUGGUAAGGUAACGGCUUACCAAGGCAACGAUAACCUACCUAUAAGACUGGGAUAACUUCGGGAAACCGGAGCUAAUACCGGAUAAUAUUUUGAACCGCAUGGUUCAAAAGUGAAAGACGGUCUUGCUGUCACUUAUAGAUGGAUCCGCGCUGCAUUAGCUAGUUGGUAAGGUAACGGCUUACCAAGGCAACGAUGCAUAGCCGACCUGAGAGGGUGAUCGGCCACACUGGAACUGAGACACGGUCCAGACUCCUA